This is a long non-coding RNA of Olea europaea var. sylvestris, 148 nucleotides long. RefSeq lists it as uncharacterized. The transcript is spliced from 3 exons. The record is from RefSeq and is a predicted model, not a curated record. Lineage: Eukaryota; Viridiplantae; Streptophyta; Magnoliopsida; Lamiales; Oleaceae.
UGGACAGCCAAGUUACUUCACAGUUUUGAGGUGAUUUUCCGACUUCGAGUCAAAAAGGAUAUUGAUCUAAUCUCCAUAGGAGCUUGCACACACAAAGGUGAAAGGUGAGCAUGGAACUACAUAGAGAGCAUGGCUAGCUGUGGAGCUC